UUUCCGUAGGUGAACCUGCGGAAGGAUCAUUAUUGGAUUUUGAAGCUUCAGGCUGCUGCUGGCUCUCCUCGGAGGGCAUGUGCACGCUUGUUGUCCAUUAUUUCUCCCACUGUGCACAAAUUGUAGACCUUUCAGUAGGCCUAUGUUGUUUUUCACAAUCUCUGAAUGUAAUGGAAUGGUUUUGAAUCUUGGGAAAUACAAUGCAACUUUCAGCAACGGAUCUCUUGGCUCUC
This 233-nucleotide unclassified non-coding RNA is filed under the name plant metagenome. RNAcentral's name for it is "partial contains small subunit ribosomal RNA, internal transcribed spacer 1, and 5.8S ribosomal RNA". The record is from RNAcentral.